UGGAUAGGUGCGGCGCUGCUUCCCUGGAGGGAAACGCUCCAUCUUGCGGGCCGAAGCGCGAGUGCUGCUCUGUGACAGCCUCCGGCCGCGGCCUUCCCAGCUGCUACCGCCGCUUUUCGGAUGGGCUGUGAUAGAUGGAGUAGCAGCGAAGACUGCUAGAAGAGCGUUUUCAGUCGGCCUUUAGUGAUUCGUAAAACCAAAUUAGCUGGUUUCUACUUGGAAGGGGUACAGAAGAUCAAACUCUCCCAAAAAGUAGAGAUUAAACAACAACUAAAGAUGGCGAAUCAUAGAAGUUACCACCAUUCCUGGUAUUGGUCCCAGUUCUUCUAAGAAUAUUUUUGAUGCAAGAGCUGUUUUAUCUUGAAUCCUACAUAGCUUAUUUUCCAUUUUUCCAUUCAAAUAAAACAACAAGAGAACAAUAGAGUGAAGAAAAAGGAUGUUUAAGCCUAAAUCCAAGACUGAGGUACAAGACCAAGAAAAGUGGGGCAGAAGAUGGAAAAGAACAAGUGAAGAAUCUUGGAAACAAUUCAAAGGCCAACCCUGCUUAUUCCUGUAAACCAACCAGUGAUCUCUGGCUGCUGCUUAGAAGAAACAAGAGGGAUGGCUAAUUAAACAGGUUGAAGUAAAGGAGCCAGCCCAAACCCACCAAAACCAAAAUGGUGACGAGAGUGACAUCUGGUCGUCCUCACUGCUACACUCCCACCAGCACCACGACAGUUUACAAAUUCUAUGACAAUGUCAGGAAGUUACCCUAUGUGGUCUAAAAAGAGGAGGCAUGAAUAAUCCACCCCUUGUUUAGCAUAUCAUCAAGAAAUAACCAUAAAAAUAGGCAAUCUGCAGCCCCCAGGCUGCUCUGUCUAUGGAGUAGCUGUUCUUUUUUUCUUUUACUUUCUUAAUAAACUUCCUUUCACUUUGCA
This 917-nucleotide long non-coding RNA is filed under the name Homo sapiens (human). RNAcentral's name for it is "C2CD5 antisense RNA 1". Lineage: Eukaryota; Metazoa; Chordata; Mammalia; Primates; Hominidae. The record is from RNAcentral.